GAAGCGAACCGGGGGAACUGAAACAUCUAAGUACCCCGAGGAAAAGAAAUCAACCGAGAUUCCCCCAGUAGCGGCGAGCGAACGGGGAGCAGCCCAGAGUCUGAAUCAGCAUGUGUGGUAGUGGAACGGUCUGGAAAGUCCGACGGUACAGGGUGAUAGUCCCGUACACAAAAUCGCAUGUGUUGUGAACUCGAAGAGUAGGGCGGGACACGUGGUAUCCUGUCUGAAUAUGGGGGGACCAUCCUCCAAGGCUAAAUACUCCUGACUGACCGAUAGUGAACCAGUACCGUGAGGGAAAGGCGAAAAGAACCCCGGCGAGGGGAGUGAAAAAGAACCUGAAACCGUGUACGUACAAGCAGUGGGAGCCUUGAUUUAUCAGGGUGACUGCGUACCUUUUGUAUAAUGGGUCAGCGACUUAUAUUCUGUAGCAAGGUUAACCGUAUAGGGGAGCCGAAGGGAAACCGAGUCUUAACUGGGCGUUAAGUUGCAGGGUAUAGACCCGAAACCCGGUGAUCUAGCCAUGGGCAGGUUGAAGGUUGGGUAACACUAACUGGAGGACCGAACCGACUAAUGUUGAAAAAUUAGCGGAUGACUUGUGGCUGGGGGUGAAAGGCCAAUCAAACCGGGAGAUAGCUGGUUCUCCCCGAAAGCUAUUUAGGUAGCGCCUCGUGAACUCAUCUUCGGGGGUAGAGCACUGUUUCGGCUAGGGGGUCAUCCCGACUUACCAACCCGAUGCAAACUACGAAUACCGAAGAAUGUUAUCACGGGAGACACACGGCGGGUGCUAACGUCCGUCGUGAAGAGGGAAACAACCCAGACCGCCAGCUAAGGUCCCAAAGUCACAGUUAAGUGGGAAACGAUGUGGGAAGGCACAGACAGCCAGGAUGUUGGCUUAGAAGCAGCCAUCAUUUAAAGAAAGCGUAAUAGCUCACUGGUCGAGUCGGCCUGCGCGGAAGAUGUAACGGGGCUAAACUGUGCACCGAAGCUGCGGCAGCGACACUAUGUGUUGUUGGGUAGGGGAGCGUUCUGUAAGCCGUUGAAGGUGUCCUGUGAGGGGUGCUGGAGGUAUCAGAAGUGCGAAUGCUGACAUAAGUAACGAUAAUGCGGGUGAAAAACCCGCACGCCGGAAGACCAAGGGUUCCUGUCCAACGUUAAUCGGGGCAGGGUGAGUCGACCCCUAAGGCGAGGCCGAAAGGCGUAGUCGAUGGGAAACAGGUUAAUAUUCCUGUACUUGGUGUUACUGCGAAGGGGGGACGGAGAAGGCUAUGUUAGCCGGGCGACGGUUGUCCCGGUUUAAGCAUGUAGGCGG
Molecule: ribosomal RNA, 1309 nt
Filed under: Citrobacter gillenii
Lineage: Bacteria; Pseudomonadati; Pseudomonadota; Gammaproteobacteria; Enterobacterales; Enterobacteriaceae
Also listed under: 1 other name
Description: partial 23S ribosomal RNA
Rfam family: Bacterial large subunit ribosomal RNA
Source: RNAcentral